RNAcentral lists this long non-coding RNA (401 nucleotides) under Sarcophilus harrisii (Tasmanian devil). RNAcentral's name for it is "lncRNA (ENSSHAG00000030990.1)". The record is from RNAcentral. Lineage: Eukaryota; Metazoa; Chordata; Mammalia; Dasyuromorphia; Dasyuridae.
GCCUAAAAUUUUACCUGCUGUUCUCCUAAAGAUGUUCUGACAUAAUCAUGAAGCUGAAAAAGCCCAUUCCUAGAAAAAAUAAUGCUAAAUUAGAAGCAGGAUAAAGACUUUGUGAACUAACAGUGUAGCAUCAUUUAAAAACAGUCCUAGAUCCCAUGUCUUCUAUUCCAUCCAUGUGUUUUUCUUCUAAGUGCUAAAGUUUCUGGCUACGUCUUUCUUCCUAGCCAACCACUCCAACUCCCCAUCACCCAGCUGUCAACUCUGUGUACACAGCUGAAAAUAGACACAAUAGGAUGUGAGUGGAGGAGGAGAAAUAGGAACUCAUUUUUAAGUAGUGAGCCAUUUAAGCUGCAGACAAAAACAUAAGGAGGAAAGGCAUAAAAAUGGAUCUUGUAGAUGUC